This 248-nucleotide unclassified non-coding RNA is filed under the name Glomus sp. RNAcentral's name for it is "partial contains 5.8S ribosomal RNA and internal transcribed spacer 2". The stretch from base 1 to 71 matches the Rfam family "5.8S ribosomal RNA", at positions 84 to 154 of the family's 154-position model. The record is from RNAcentral. Lineage: Eukaryota; Fungi; Glomeromycota; Glomeromycetes; Glomerales; Glomeraceae.
GUGAAUCAUCGAAUCUUUGAACGCAAAUUGCACUCUCUGGUAUUCCGGAGAGUAUGCCUGUUUGAGGGUCAGUUAAAUAAAAAUCGGUGUGGUUGCUGCUUUUCGUGGUGACGCACCGGAUUUGGGUCGUCUUGCCUUCGGUUAAGUGACCUAAAAUUUUGCAUGAUUUUUUCGAACGGAUUUAAAUGAUUUUACGUACGUUGGCGAUAUCGAAUACGAGGUUUGUUCAUCCUCAGAAUUCCGGCCUA